AAACCAACAGGGAUUGCCUCAGUAACGGCGAGUGAAGCGGCAACAGCUCAAAUUUGAAACCUGGCGCAAGCCCGGAUUGUAAUUUGCAGAGGAUGCUUCUGGGCAGCGGCCGGUCUAAGUUCCUUGGAACAGGACGUCAUAGAGGGUGAGAAUCCCGUAUGCGACCGGCGCGCACCCUCCACGUAGCUCCUUCGACGAGUCGAGUUGUUUGGGAAUGCAGCUCUAAAUGGGAGGUAAAUUUCUUCUAAAGCUAAAUACCGGCCAGAGACCGAUAGCGCACAAGUAGAGUGAUCGAAAGAUGAAAAGCACUUUGGAAAGAGAGUUAAAAAGCACGUGAAAUUGUUGAAAGGGAAGCGCUUCCCACCAGACUCCGUGGCGGUGUUCCGCCGGUCUUCUGACCGGUCUACUCGCCGCCGCGGGGCCAACAUCGUCUGGGGCCGCCGGAUAAGACCGGAGGAAUGUAGCUCAUUGAGUAUUAUAGCCUCCGGGGAUGCGGCGCGCGCCGGGCGAGGUCCGCGCUUCGGCAAGGAUGUUGGCGUAAUGGUGGGCAGCGGCCCGUCUUGAAACACGGACCAAGGAGUCUAACAUCUAUGCGAGUGUUCGGGUGUCAAACCCCUACGCGUAAUGAAAGUGAACGGAGGUGGGAACCGCAAGGUGCACCAUCGACCGAUCCUGAUGUCCUCGGAUGGAUUUGAGUAAGAGCAUAGCUGUUGGGACCCGAAAGAUGGUGAACUAUGCCUGAAUAGGGUGAAGCCAGAGGAAACUCUGGUGGAGGCUCGCAGCGGUUCUGACGUGCAAAUCGAUCGUCAAAUUUGGGUAUAGGGGCGAAAGACUAAUCGAAC
Molecule: ribosomal RNA, 842 nt
Filed under: Zasmidium musigenum
Lineage: Eukaryota; Fungi; Ascomycota; Dothideomycetes; Mycosphaerellales; Mycosphaerellaceae
Description: partial 28S large subunit ribosomal RNA
Rfam family: Eukaryotic large subunit ribosomal RNA
Source: RNAcentral